UACGGAGGGUGCGAGCGUUGUCCGGAAUCACUGGGCGUAAAGGGCGCGUAGGCGGCCGUGUAAGUCACCUGUGAAAUCCCGGGGCUCAACUCCGGGGCUGCAGGUGAGACUGCGUGGCUAGAGCACGGUAGAGGCGAGUGGAAUUCCCGGUGUAGCGGUGGAAUGCGUAGAUAUCUGGAGGAAUACCGGUGGCGAAGGCGGCGUUCUGGACUGCAACUGACACUGAUGAACGAAAGCCAGGGGAGCAAACGGG
RNAcentral lists this ribosomal RNA (253 nucleotides) under uncultured bacterium. Its description in RNAcentral is "partial 16S ribosomal RNA". It matches the Rfam family "Bacterial small subunit ribosomal RNA", at positions 524 to 776 of the family's 1533-position model. The record is from RNAcentral.